GAUGAACGCUGGCGGCGUGCUUAACACAUGCCAGUCGAACGGAAAGGCUCCUGCUUGCAGGGGUACUCGAGUGGCGAACGGGUGAGUAACACGUGGGUGAUCUGCCCUGCACUUCGGGAUAAGCCUGGGAAACUGGGUCUAAUACCGGAUAGGACGAUGGUUUGGAUGCCAUUGUGGAAAGUUUUUUCGGUGUGGGAUGAGCGCGCGGCCUAUCCGCUUGUUGGUGGGGUAAUGGCCUACGAAGGCGUCGACGGGUAGCCGGCCUGAGAGGGUGUACGGCCACAUGGGGACUGAGAUACGGCGCAGAAGCCUAUGGGAGGCAGCAGUGGGGAAUAUUGCAGAAUGGGCGCAAGCCUGAUGCAGCGACGCCGCGUGGGGGAUGACGGCCUUCGGGUUGUAAACACAUUUCGCUAGGGACGAAGCGCAAGUGACGGUACCUGGAGAAGAAGCACCGGCUAACUACGUG
This 466-nucleotide ribosomal RNA is filed under the name uncultured bacterium. RNAcentral describes it as "partial 16S ribosomal RNA". It matches the Rfam family "Bacterial small subunit ribosomal RNA", at positions 28 to 507 of the family's 1533-position model. The record is from RNAcentral.